UCUUGGCUAAGGUGUCUCGGCUAAGGUGUCUUGGCUAAUGUGUCUUGGCUAAGGUGUCUUGGCUAAGGUGUCUUGGCUAAGGUGUCUUGGCUAAGGUGUCUUGGCUAAGGUGUCUUGGCUAAGGUGUCUUGGCUAGUGUGUCUUGGCUAAGGUGUCUUGGCUAAUGUGUCUUGGCUAAGGUGUCUUGGCUAAGGUCUCUUGGCUUAUGUGUCUUGGCUAAAGUGUCUUGGCUAAUGUGUCUUGGCUAAGGUGUCUUGGCUUAUGUGUCUUGGCUAAUGUGUCUUGGCUAAUGUGUCUUGGCUAAUGUGUCUUGGCUAAGGUGUCUUGGCUAAUGUGUAUUGGCUAAUGUGUUUUGGCUAAUGUGUUUUGGCUAAGGUGUCUUGGCUAAUGUGUCUUGGCUAAUGUGUCUCGGCUUAUGUGUCUUGGCUGAUGUGUCUUUGCUAAGGUGUCCUGGCUAAGGUGUCUUGGCUAAGGUGUCUGGGCUAAAGUGUCUUGGCAGAGGUGUCUUGGCUAAUGUGUCUUGGCUAGUGUGUCUUGGCUAAUGUGUCUUGGCUUAUGUGUCCGGGCUAAUGUGUCUUGGCUUAUGUGUCUUGGCUAAUGUGUUUUGGCUAAGGUGUCUUGGCUAAGGUGUCUUGGCUUAUGUGUCUUGGCUAAUGUGUCUUGGCUAAUGUGUCUUGGCUAUGGUGUCUUGGCUUAUGUGUCUUGGCUAAUGUGUCUUGGCUAAGGUGUCUUGGCUAAUGUGUCUUGGCUAAUGUGUCUUGACUAAUGUGUCUUGGCUUAUGUGUCUUGGCUAAUGUGUCUUGGCUAAGGUGUCUUGGCUAAGGUGUCUUGGCUAAAGUGUCUCGGCUAAUGUGUCUUGGCUGAGGUGUCUUGGCUAAUGUGUCUUGGCUAAUGUGUUUUGGCUAAUGUGUCUUGGCUAAGGUGUCUUGGCUAAGGUGUCUUGGCUAAGGAAUCUUGGCUAAUGCGUCUUGGCUAAGGUGUCUUGACUAAUGUGUCUUGGCUAAUGUGUCUUGGCUAAGGUGUCUUGGCUAAGGUGUCUUGGCUAAUGUGUCUUGGCUAAGGUGUCUUGGCUAAUGUGUCUCGACUAAUGUGUCUUGGCUAAUGUGUCUUGGCUAAGGUGUCUUGGCUAAUGUGUCUCGGCUAAUGUGUCUCGGCUAAUGUGUCUUGGCUAAGGUGUCUUGGCUAAGGUCUCUUGGCUUAUGUGUCUUGGCUAAAGUGUCUUGGCUAAAGUUUCUUGGCUAAGGUGUCUUGGCUAAGGUGUCUUCUUUAAGGUGUCUUGGCUAAGGUGUCUUGGCUAAGGUGUCUUGGCUAAGGUGUCUUGGCUAGUGUGUCUUGGCUAAGGUGUCUUGGCUAAUGUGUCUUGGCUAAGGUGUCUUGGCUAAGGUCUCUUGGCUUAUGUGUCUUGGCUAAAGUGUCUUGGCUAAAGUUUCUUGGCUAAGGUGUCUUGGCUAAGGUGUCUUCUUUAAGGUGUCUUGGCUAAGGUGUCUUGGCUAAGGUGUCUUGGCUAAGGUCUCUUGGCUUAUGUGUCUUGGCUAAAGUGUCUUGGCUAAUGUGUCUUGGCUAAGGUGUCUUGGCUUAUGUGUCUUGGCUAAAGUGUCUUGGCUAAGGUGUAUUGGCUAAUGUGUCUUGGCUAAUGUUUCUUGGCUAAUGUGUCUUGGCUAAAUUGUCUUGGCUAAGGUGUCUUGGCUAAGGUCUCUUGGCUAAUGUGUCUUGGCUAAUGUGUCUUGGCUAAUUUGUAUUGGCUAAGGUGUCUUGGCUGAGGUGUCUUGGCUAAGGUGUCUUGGCUAAGGUGUCUUGGCUAAUGUGUCUUGGCUAAGGUGUCUUGGCUAAGGUGUCUUUGCUAAGGUGUCAUGGCUAAGGUGUCUUGGCUAAUGUGUCUUGGCUAAUGUGUCUUGGCAAAGGUGUCUUGGCUAAGGUGUCUUGGCUAAUGUGUCUUGGCUAAUGUGUCUUGGCUAAUGUGUCUUGGCUAAGGUGUCUUGGCUUAUGUGUCUUGGCUAAGGUGUCUUGGCUAAUGUGUCUUGGCUAAAGUGUCUUGGCUAAUGUGUCUUGGCUAAAGUGUCUUGGCUAAAGUGUCUUGGCUAAGGUGUCUUGGCUAAUGUGUCUUGGCUAAUGUGUCUUGGCUAAUGUGUCUUGGCUAAGGUUUCUUGGCUAAUGUGUCUUGGCUUAUGUGUCUUGGCUAAAGUGUCUUGGCUAAGGUGUCUUGACUAAUGUGUCUUGGCUAAGGUGUCUUGGCUAAUGUGUCUUGGCUAAUGUGUCUUGGCUAAUGUGUCUUGGCUAAGGUGUCUUGGCUAAUGUGUAUUGGCUAAUGUGUUUUGGCUAAUGUGUUUUGGCUAAGGUGUCUUGGCUAAUGUGUCUUGGCUAAUGUGUCUUGGCUAAUGUGUCUUGGCUAAUGUGUCUUGGCUAAUGUGUCUUGGCUAAGGUGUCCUGGCUAAGGUGUCUUGGCUAAUGUGUCUCGGCUAAGGUGUCUUGGCUAAUGUGUCUUGGCUAAUGUGUCUUGGCUAAGGUGUCUUGGCUAAGGUGUCUUGGCUAAUGUGUCUCGGCUUAUGUGUCUCGGCUAAUGUGUCUUGGCUAAGGUGUCUUGGCUAAGGUCUCUUGGCUUAUGUGUCUUGGCUAAAGUGUCUUGGCUAAAGUUUCUUGGCUAAGGUGUCUUGGCUAAGGUGUCUUGGCUAAGGUGUCUUGGCUAAUGUGUCUUGGCUAGUGUGUCUUGGCUAAGGUGUCUUGGCUAAUGUGUCUUGGCUAAUGUGUCUUGGCUAAGGUGUCUUGGCUAAUGUGUCUUGGCUAAAGUGUCUUGGCUAAUGUGUCUUGGCUAAGGUGUCUUGGCUAAUGUGUCUUGGCUAAUGUGUCUCGGCUAAGGUGUCUUGGCUAAUGUGUCUUGGCUAAUGUGUCUUGGCUAAUGUGUCUUGGCUUAUGCGUCUUGGCUAAUGCGUCUUGGCUAAUGUGUCUUGGGUAAAGUGUCUUGGCUAAUGUGUCUUGGCUAAUGUGUCUUGGCUAAUGUUUCUUGGCUAAUGUGUCUUGGCUAAAUUGUCUUGGCUAAGGUGUCUUGGCUAAGGUCUCUUGGCUAAUGUGUCUUGGCUAAGGUGUCUUGGCUAAGGUGUCUUGGCUAAUGUGUCUUGGCUAAGGUGUCUUGGCUAAGGUGUCUUUGCUAAGGUGUCAUGGCUAAGGUGUCUUGGCUAAUGUGUCUUGGCUAAUGUGUCUUGGCUUAUGUGUCUUGGCUAAGGUGUCUUGGCUAAUGUGUCUUGGCUAAUGUGUCUUGGCUAAUGUGUCUUGGCUAAUGUGUCUUGGCUAAUGUGUCUUGGCAAAGGUGUCUUGGCUAAGGUGUCUUGGCUAAUGUGUCUUGGCUAAUGUGUCUUGGCUAAUGUGUCUUGGCUAAUGUGUCUUGGCUAAGGUGUCUUGGCUUAUGUGUCUUGGCUAAGGUGUCUUUUCUAAGGUGUCUUGGCUAAUGUGUCUUGACCAAGGUGUCUUGGCUAAUGUGUCUUUUCUAAGGUGUCUUGGCUAAUGUGUCUUGGCUAAGGUGUCUUGGCUAAUGUGUCUUGGCUAAUGUGUCUUGGCUAAUGUGUCUUGGCUUAUGUGUCUUGGCUAAGGUGUCUUGGCUAAUGUGUCUUGGCUAAUGUGUCUUGGCUAAUGUGUCUUGGCUAAUGUGUCUUGGCUAAUGUGUCUUGGCAAAGGUGUCUUGGCUAAGGUGUCUUGGCUAAUGUGUCUUGGCUAAUGUGUCUUGGCUAAUGUGUCUUGGCUAAUGUGUCUUGGCUAAGGUGUCUUGGCUUAUGUGUCUUGGCUAAGGUGUCUUUUCUAAGGUGUCUUGGCUAAUGUGUCUUGACCAAGGUGUCUUGGCUAAUGUGUCUUUUCUAAGGUGUCUUGGCUAAUGUGUCUUGGCUAAGGUGUCUUGGCUAAUGUGUCUUGGCUAAUGUGUCUUGGCUAAUGUGUCUUGGCUAAUGUGUCUUGGCUAAGGUGUCUUGGCUAAGGUGUCUUGGCUAAGGUGUCUCGGCUAAUGUGUCUUGGCUAAGGUGUCUUGGUUAAUGUGUCUUGGCUAAUGUGUCUCGGCUUAUGUGUCUUGGCUAAUGUGUCUUGGCUAAUGUGUCUUGGCUAAAGUGUCUUGGCUAAGGUGUCUUGGCUAAGGUGUCUUGGCUAAUGUGUCUUGGCUAAGGUGUCUUGGCUAAUGUGUCUUGGCUAAUGUGUCUUGGCUAAGGUGUCUUAGCUAAGGUGUCUUGGCUAAGGUGUCUUGGCUAAGGUGUCUUGGCUAAGGUGUCUUGGCUAAUGUGUCUUGGCUAAUGUGUCUUGGCUAAGGUGUCUUGGCUAAUGUGUCUUGGCUAAGGUGUCUUGGCUAAGGUGUCUCGGCUAAUGUGUCUUGGCUAAGGUGUCUUGGCUAAUGUGUCUUGGCUCAUGUGUCUCGGCUUAUGUGUCUUGGCUAAUGUGUCUUGGCUAAUGUGUCUUGGCUAAAGUGUCUUGGCUAAGGUGUCUUGGCUAAGGUGUCUUGGCUAAGGUGUCUUGGCUAAGGUGUCUUGGCUAAUGUGUCUCGGCUUAUGUGUCUUGGCUAAGGUGUCUUGGCUAAGGUGUCUUGGCUAAGGUGUCUUGGCGAAGGUGUCUUGGCUAAUGUGUCUCGGCUAAUGUGUCUUGGCUAAGGUGUCUUGGCUUAUGUGUCUUGGCUAAUGUGUCUCGGCUUAUGUGUCUUGGCUAAUGUGUCUUGGCUAAUGUGUCUUGGC
Long non-coding RNA from Anopheles funestus (African malaria mosquito), 4697 nucleotides. RefSeq lists it as uncharacterized. Lineage: Eukaryota; Metazoa; Arthropoda; Insecta; Diptera; Culicidae. The record is from RefSeq and is a predicted model, not a curated record. The transcript is spliced from 3 exons.